Molecule: long non-coding RNA, 196 nt
Organism: Quercus robur (English oak)
Lineage: Eukaryota; Viridiplantae; Streptophyta; Magnoliopsida; Fagales; Fagaceae
Exons: 2
Source: RefSeq, a predicted model, not a curated record
GAUACCGAUCCGACCCAACAGACCCAAAUCCAAUUCGCUCAAUUUCCACUCUUCUCCAGCCCAUCGCUCAAUGCAACCGACCCAGCCCGUCGAGACCGGCCCAAAGGUUUUUUUAUCAGAACCACAUGCACACAGAGAUAUAGUUUGGAAGGCACAAAGAGAGAGGCCGCAUACCCAUUACCCCAUAAUCGGUAAA